CCUAAAUAUUGGCUGCUACAUAUUAAUUUUCCUGGGCUUGUCUUAAGUUCCAAUCCGUUCCUGGUAGAGAACCGUUUUACUGUUUAUAAUGAUUUAGCCGUUCACAUUUCGAAUAUUUUCGACGGAAUAUAUGAAUACUUCCCGCCGAUUUUGUUUCAUUUGAUAGAAAAUAGCGAUCAUGAAACGAAAUUAGUAAACAUGUAUUUAUUGUUCUGUGCUGAUUUCAAAGAUUUCCGUUCAAUAUCCGUUGCCCGAUUGUCGACAAAAGUACUACUGCAGAUGGUCAGAUGGAGCCUGAUAUAAAUUGUAUUAAAGAAUCGAUGGAAGACAAAGUACUGUG
Non-coding RNA from Cinara cedri, 340 nucleotides. The record is from the annotation of a GenBank genome assembly. Lineage: Eukaryota; Metazoa; Arthropoda; Insecta; Hemiptera; Aphididae.